CACGUAGGGGGCGAGCGUUGUCCGGAUUCAUUGGGCGUAAAGGGUGCGUAGGUGGCGCCGUAAGUCAGGUGUGAAAUUUCGGAGCUUAACUCCGAAACUGCAUUUGAUACUGCGGUGCUUGAGGACUGGAGAGGAGACUGGAAUUCACGGUGUAGCAGUGAAAUGCGUAGAUAUCGUGAGGAAGACCAGUGGCGAAGGCGGGUCUCUGGACAGUUCCUGACACUGAGGCACGAAGGCCAGGGGAGCAAACGGG
RNAcentral lists this ribosomal RNA (253 nucleotides) under uncultured bacterium. RNAcentral describes it as "partial 16S ribosomal RNA". It matches the Rfam family "Bacterial small subunit ribosomal RNA", at positions 524 to 776 of the family's 1533-position model. The record is from RNAcentral.